UACGGAGGAUCCGAGCGUUAUCCGGAUUUAUUGGGUUUAAAGGGUGCGCAGGCGGGAGAUUAAGUCGGCGGUGAAAUUUUGCAGCUCGACUGUAAAAGUGCCUUCGAAACUGGUUUCCUUGAGUGUAGAUGAAGUAGGCGGAAUUUGUGGUGUAGCGGUGAAAUGCUUAGAUAUCACGAGGAACUCCGAUUGCGCAGGCAGCUUACUAAACUACUACUGACGCUCAGGCACGAAGACGUGGGGAUCAAACAGGAUUAGAUACCCUGGUAGU
This 271-nucleotide ribosomal RNA is filed under the name uncultured prokaryote. Its description in RNAcentral is "partial 16S ribosomal RNA". It matches the Rfam family "Bacterial small subunit ribosomal RNA", at positions 524 to 794 of the family's 1533-position model. The record is from RNAcentral.